RNAcentral lists this ribosomal RNA (438 nucleotides) under uncultured bacterium. RNAcentral describes it as "bacterial SSU rRNA". It matches the Rfam family "Bacterial small subunit ribosomal RNA", at positions 29 to 507 of the family's 1533-position model. The record is from RNAcentral.
AGCGAACGCUGGCGGCAUGCUUAACACAUGCAAGUCGCACGUUGGGGGCAACUCCGGCAGUGGCGGACGGGUGAGUAACGCGUAGGAAUCUAUCCUUGGGUGGGGGACAACCGUGGGAAACUACGGCUAAUACCGCAUGAUCCCUGAGGGGCAAAGGCGCAAGUCGCCUGAGGAGGAGCCUGCGUCUGAUUAGGUAGUUGGUGGGGUAAAGGCCUACCAAGCCUACGAUCAGUAGCUGGUCUGAGAGGAUGAUCAGCCACAUUGGGACUGAGACACGGCCCAAACUCCUACGGGAGGCAGCAGUGGGGAAUAUUGGACAAUGGGCGCAAGCCUGAUCCAGCAAUGCCGCGUGGAUGAAGAAGGUCUUCGGAUUGUAAAGUCCUUUUGGCAGGGACGAUGAUGACGGUACCUGCAGAAUAAGCUCCGGCUAACUUCGUG